Molecule: long non-coding RNA, 596 nt
Organism: Symphalangus syndactylus (siamang)
Lineage: Eukaryota; Metazoa; Chordata; Mammalia; Primates; Hylobatidae
Source: RefSeq, a predicted model, not a curated record
UAAAAGUUAGCACUUCUGACCAAUGUCAGUUUUGAGUAGCUGAGGACACCGUAGUUUCAUUGUCCUGUUAGUGGAGAUGGGUUUUCAGAGUGUCAUCAUGGCUGGAGAACCAGGUCUGGACACAUGAUCACUCAGGGGCAAGACCAUCUGUUCCUCUUUACCAUGAAGUCAUAGUACUAUAUUUGUGACAGCACAAUCAUUUCCAUGGCAACAGGAUGUGGUCUCAUCACUGAAUCCUGAUUUCACUCUGACAAAGAUCAAGCAGCAGGGGAUUGGGUAACACACUCAUGUAUACAAAAUCAAAAGGCACAAAAGAGCAUAUCAUGAAAAAACACUCACUAUUGGAGCCCUGGGCUACCAUGUAAGAAGUCUGACUACCCUGAGGCCACUAUGAUGUGAGGAAACCCAAACCACAUGGAGAAGUCAUGUGUAGGCAUUCCAAUCUACAAUCCCAGCAGAGUGCCACCUCUGUCCCUCUAGCCUAGAGGCAGGGCAUGCCAUCUUUCUCAGGCUGUGACGGUUCCCAGAAGUAGAUCCGAAAAUUACCAAAGAAGCAUUUUGGUCUGUACUGGUGUAUUAAAAAAUGAUCAUCCUCA